Molecule: long non-coding RNA, 445 nt
Organism: Dermochelys coriacea (leatherback sea turtle)
Lineage: Eukaryota; Metazoa; Chordata; Testudines; Dermochelyidae
Exons: 2
Source: RefSeq, a predicted model, not a curated record
UUUUGCGAAUACAGACUAACAUGGCUGCUACUCUGAAACCUGUACGAUGAUGAUGAUUACUGAAGAUCUUCUCUCAUCAUAUAAGAGAACAGGUUCUCCCAAUCCCAAAGGAUCAGGCCCCAGACCCAGGUCCGAUGAUAACUUAGAUCUUACCCAAAAUAGGCACUUAUAGUCAAUUCUCGUUAACUGAACUACAAUUUAUUCAAAAAGAAAAGGGAGAGAGAGUUGGUUGAAAGAUCAAUCUACAGACCGACUUGAGUUCAGUUCUUGAGGUCCAGAUACCUAGCCGAGAUGGUGAGUUUGUAGUGGCCAAAAGUCCUUUUAGAAACAGUCCAGAGGUUCCAGUCCAAUGUCCAUGUUGAGGGCGACUCCAGUCAGUGACGGGGGAUCUCAAUCCUUAUGGCUCAGGGUUUCCCCUUCUUGAAACCCAAAGCCGAUCUGAGAU